AAGUCGUAACAAGGUCUCCGUAGGUGAACCUGCGGAGGGAUCAUUACAGAGUUCAUGCCCUUUAGGGUAGAUCUCCCACCCUUUGUUAUUAAUCUAUGUUGCUUUGGCGAGCCGCGUCGUACGGCUUCGGCCCGCGGAGCGUUUGCCAGAAGAUCUCAAACUCGGAAUAUAAUGUCGUCUAAGUACUAUAUAAUAGUUAAAACUUUCAACAACGGAUCUCUUGGUUCUG
This 229-nucleotide unclassified non-coding RNA is filed under the name Hyphodiscus sp. RNAcentral's name for it is "partial contains small subunit ribosomal RNA, internal transcribed spacer 1, and 5.8S ribosomal RNA". The stretch from base 1 to 46 matches the Rfam family "Eukaryotic small subunit ribosomal RNA", at positions 1786 to 1831 of the family's 1831-position model. Lineage: Eukaryota; Fungi; Ascomycota; Leotiomycetes; Helotiales; Hyphodiscaceae. The record is from RNAcentral.